GCAUAUCAAUAAGCGGAGGAAAAGAAACCAACAGGGAUUGCCUCAGUAACGGCGAGUGAAGCGGCAAGAGCUCAAAUUUGAAAGCUGGCCCCCUCGGGGUCCGCAUUGUAAUUUGCAGAGGAUGCUUCGGGAGUGGCCCCCAUCUAAGUGCCCUGGAACGGGCCGUCAUAGAGGGUGAGAAUCCCGUCUGGGAUGGGGUGUCCACGCCCGUGUGAAGCUCCUUCGACGAGUCGAGUUGUUUGGGAAUGCAGCUCUAAAUGGGUGGUAAAUUUCAUCUAAAGCUAAAUACUGGCCGGAGACCGAUAGCGCACAAGUAGAGUGAUCGAAAGAUGAAAAGCACUUUGAAAAGAGAGUUAAACAGCACGUGAAAUUGUUGAAAGGGAAGCGCUUGCGACCAGACUCGCCCACGGGGUUCAGCCGGCAUUCGUGCCGGUGUACUUCCCCGCGGGCGGGCCAGCGUCGGUUUGGGCGGCCGGUCAAAGGCCCUUGGAAUGUAACGCCCCCCGGGGCGUCUUAUAGCCAAGGGUGCCAUGCGGCCAGCCCGGACCGAGGAACGCGCUUCGGCUCGGACGCUGGCAUAAUGGUCGUAAGCGACCCGUCUUGAAACACGGACCAAGGAGUCUAACAUCUACGCGAGUGUUCGGGUGUCAAACCCGUGCGCGCAGUGAAAGCGAACGGAGGUGGGAACCCCUCGGGGCGCACCAUCGACCGAUCCUGAAGUCUUCGGAUGGAUUUGAGUAAGAGCGUAGCUGUUGGGACCCGAAAGAUGGUGAACUAUGCCUGAAUAGGGCGAAGCCAGAGGAAACUCUGGUGGAGGCUCGCAGCGGUUCUGACGUGCAAAUCGAUCGUCAAAUUUGGGUAUAGGGGCGAAAGACUAAUCGAACCAUCUAGUAGCUGGUUCCUGCGAU
This 908-nucleotide ribosomal RNA is filed under the name Penicillium subrubescens. RNAcentral's name for it is "LSU rRNA". It matches the Rfam family "Eukaryotic large subunit ribosomal RNA", at positions 38 to 964 of the family's 3401-position model. The record is from RNAcentral. Lineage: Eukaryota; Fungi; Ascomycota; Eurotiomycetes; Eurotiales; Aspergillaceae.